Molecule: long non-coding RNA, 1501 nt
Filed under: Homo sapiens (human)
Lineage: Eukaryota; Metazoa; Chordata; Mammalia; Primates; Hominidae
Description: HSALNT0346638
Source: RNAcentral
AGCCAUUUCAGGCAUACAUUGUUUAAAUCAUUCACCCUGAGAGAAAGGCCCAGUGGAAACAGCUUGCAAUAACACAUCCAGAAUGACCUAUUGGGCCAUUUCUUACUUCCUUACCAGGAUUUGUGCCUCCAGGAGCCAUCUGGCUCUAUGAAACCUGCCUGCCUACCUGCUGUAAACUACCUCGGAGCCUGAACAAUCUGAGUAAAGCUGUAUUUAUGAAUACAGGCAAAGAAAGAAAAAGGCUUCCUUAUGAUGGAAACCUGGUCUGGGUUGCUCACCACUGAACCUCCUCACACCUGGAGCCGUGCCUAGCACAAGGAGCUUACGUAUCCUCAGAAGAGAAGAAACAGAGACGAUUGCUGUCUUCAUUUUAGAGACAAAGAACCCGAGGCGUAGAGAGCCAGGAAAUGGAGGUAAUGACUUCUGCCCUGGAGGACUACAUGGCAUCUUCUAUGUUGAAACCACUUUCAAAGUUUUCAAAACUAUACACCCAUCAUGUAUCACUAAUAUAGCUCGAUAUACUACGGAUCACAGUCCUGACUUCAACUGUUAGUGUAAUGUCUCAUCAACACUGAGAACACGUUAUGUGGUGUUUUACUGUCAUGAACGAAACCUAUUUCCCCAGAAAAACUGGCAGAUAUUAGCAUUAAUCUGAUUUUUCAAAGAAGUUAAUUAUUUCCCAGAAUAAGUCACUGUGACUUAUCAAAGGGCCUUGGUUGGUGGGAAGUAAAGCCCAGACUGCAUUCUUGAAGCUGCUAGCCUUUGCCAGCUCAUUGCAAAUUGAGCAACACUGAUGAACCCACAGUUAAUCUAUGGAGUCAAAUGCAACUGGACACAAAUGCCUGGGGAUUUUCCCUGUGAGAUUCUCUUGCCCUUCUGGUGAUGGUGAAGGACAGCACUACCCAUGGCAGGGGCGGUCACUAGUCUCUGGCAUUUACUUGACCUUAUGGCUGCCAUGAACACCAGGCACAGCCUUUGCAGGAGGCACUGCUGCCUUCAGCCUGCCUGGCCUGGGGGCGCAGAGAGGAAAGGGAUAUGGGCUUUUGCAAAAGGCCCCUAGAGCAAAGUCAGACUGAUGGCAAAGGCUUGAGUGCUCGAUGGGCGAGGGAGAUGCUUUCGCUUCAAUUUUCACUGAGUAAUGAGGCGUACUGAGCAAAAUACACUUGUCCUUGGAAUGUGAGGCACACACGUGGCAGGCAUAAAGUUAUAAAAAGGAGGAGCUCCUUAGUCUGCUGAACUUAAAGACUUAUCUUGCCUUCCUGCUGUUAAUUCUUUACAGAGACUUCCUCUUCUCCAUUUCCCAGGGUUCUCCAUGGGGAUGUGCUUGAGGGAGAAUGAGCAGUUUAAGAGAAAAGAAUUCCUCCAGAGUGGGUUGUGGAGAGCACUGGAGAAGGUCUGGGCUGGAGCUAGAGAUUUACCUUGGCUAAAGAUAAGAGUCUGUGGUGUAUAUACACAAUGGAAUACCAUUCAGCCUUGAAAAAGAAGGAAAUAUGUCAUCAGU